UGAGUUUUCUUCAGCCUGACCUUUUGAAUGGCAGGCAGUGGCAGGAUUAGACUCCUUGAUGGAAACCAGGGUGGUGUUGCCGUGGGAGCAUGGGGUCUGACUGUGUGUCCUUCUCCUUAUGACAGUGUCAUGAACCUGGAUGACCUGACCCGGCGAGGGGCUGUAUCUGAGUGACAUCCCUCUGCACGAUGCCACUCGGGACCUCGUGCUCCUAGGAGAGCAGUUCAGAGAGGAGUACAAGCUGACCCAGGAACUGGAAAUCCUUACGGACAGGCUGCAGCUCACGUUACGAGCCCUGGAAGAUGAAAAAGAAAAAGACGGACACGUUGCUGUAUUCCGUGCUCCCUCCAUCUGUGGCCAACGAGCUGAGGCACAAGCGUCCGGUGCCCGCGAAGAGAUAUGACAACGUGACUAUCCUCUUCAGCGGCAUUGUGGGCUUCAAUGCCUUCUGCAGCAAGCACGCGUCUGGGGAAGGGGCCAUGAAGAUUGUCAACCUCCUCAACGACCUCUACACUAGAUUUGACACUCUGACGGACUCCCGGAAAAAUCCAUUUGUUUAUAAGGUGGAGACUGUUGGGGACAAGUACAUGACGGUGAGCGGGCUGCCCGAGCCGUGCAUCCACCACGCACGGUCCAUCUGCCACCUGGCCUUGGAUAUGAUGGAGAUUGCUGGCCAGGUCCAAGUAGACGGUGAAUCUGUUCAGAUAACGAUCGGGAUCCACACGGGGGAGGUAGUUACCGGAGUCAUAGGACAACGGAUGCCUCGCUACUGUCUCUUUGGAAACACUGUCAACCUCACAAGCCGGACAGAAACCACUGGAGAAAAAGGGAAAAUAAAUGUGUCUGAAUAUACAUACAGAUGUCUCAUGACACCAGAAAAUUCAGACCCGCAAUUCCAUUUGGAGCACAGAGGCCCCGUGUCCAUGAAGGGCAAAAAGGAGCCAAUGCAAGUUUGGUUUCUAUCCAGAAAAAAUACAGGAACAGAGGAAGCAGAGCAGGAUGAAAACUGAAUCUUGGACUGUGGGGUUAAGAUCGCAGGAUGAGGUCCAGUCUCCCCCUAACAGAUGCCGUGCCUGGGACCAGUGAUUCCCUCCGUCCUUUUCCUGUUUCCCCAAGCCGUUCUCCUGUGUAUCUCUUUCCUUAUUCAUUAUUCAACUUUAGCUCUGCUUUUGAUUAUUUUUGAGGUUUAGUAUGUUAUCUGAAGUUUGGCUUUGUGUGGCUGAUGUGAGCUUCACAUGUCUUCAGAUCGACUAUGCAUCGCCUGGCAUGGUGGUUUUCAGGUAGUGGGCACCCAAUAAAUAUUUGGUGAAUUUAAUUAAAUGAAACUGAACGGUAUUCAGCCAUGUGUGUAUGUAUGUAUAUAUAUAUAUAUACAUAUAUAUAUAUAUAUAUAUCAUGGUUUUCCAUAUUUGUUCAGUGUCUCUAUAUGUGUAUAUUUUAAUGACUAUAACAUAUAAAAAGGUUUUAUUGUGUUGGUGCAUAUCAUUAUAGAAAUCGUUUUCUAAAGGAGUGAAUUCAGAAUUUUAGGGGAAAAAUGCAAUAUAGUUUCAGACUCCCCAGAUAAGAAUAUAUCAUGCUAAGAAAACAGUGUCUAUUUAGAAUUAUGUUAAUUUCCCUUCAGAAAUAGAGAAUAUACUUCUUUGCUAUUAAACUAUCAGGUUUUCAUUCAGAUCAUGUGGCAAUUACAGUUCCUCUAAAAUGCUAUCCUUUGCAUUGUAUCCUUUGUGUUAUAAAUCUCAUUAACCCCAUGCAGCUGUUGGUGAAGGCAGCACUGUUUGACAAUGAGCUAUUGCAUUAGUUUGGAGGAAACGUUAUGGACUCUAACUGCAUCCAAGGAUGAAGCUGGAAUCACAGCUGGGGUGUUUCGGUUGGUCAGAGCCCAUCUUGGCCCUUUCUUCCCAGAAAUGAGCUCCUUUGUCUUAGCUCACAAGAACUUGAUUCUAUCCAGGGUGCCAUCUUGAGAAAAGUUACUUUAAUUUCAACAUAGAAUGCAUUCCUGUUAGAAUCAUCACCUGUUGUUCUUCAUUAUCUCUGAUAAUUUAUUAAUAUCUAUCUUUAUAAAAUACAGGACCACUACUUUUGUGUAAAAAUGUUUGUCUUUAAAUUUAGCAUUUCCUAUCAGCACGUUGAUAACUUGUAUAAAUGUUCCAUGUUCAUGUGUAAGAGAACCUGUAAUAAAUUAUUUUUUCCACUUGUCUCUAGAUGGUUUUUGAUUCAAUAAAAAUGAUGUGAAUGCUCUUA
This is an RNA transcript of Capra hircus (goat), 2241 nucleotides long. It is a transcript of the gene named guanylate cyclase soluble subunit beta-1-like, with no coding region annotated. The record is from RefSeq and is a predicted model, not a curated record. NCBI's taxonomy places the organism in Eukaryota, Metazoa, Chordata, Mammalia, Artiodactyla, Bovidae. The transcript is spliced from 6 exons.